UGAGACCAAGUGAAAGUGAACCGGAGCGCAAGCGUGGGAAACAGCUUCUCAUUUCAGUCUUGCGCUACCGUUCCUCACAUUUCCAGUUAGCGAAUGAGUGCCAAUUGCAUCGAGAUCAUGGUUGUGACGAGAAGUGCGCAUGGUCUCGAUUUUUGCUACGGUGUCGCCACUGCCUGUCAGGCUCGUUCCCUAUGUGGACGCUUCUGUGUGCAAG
This 214-nucleotide unclassified non-coding RNA is filed under the name Hevea brasiliensis (rubber tree). The record is from RNAcentral. Lineage: Eukaryota; Viridiplantae; Streptophyta; Magnoliopsida; Malpighiales; Euphorbiaceae.